GAUGAACGCUGGCGGUAUGCUUUACACAUGCAAGUCGUACGAGAGUUUUUAACUCUAGUGGCGGACGGGUGAGUAACACGUAAGAAUUUGCCUUUAGGAGGGGGAUAACAACUGGAAACGGUUGCUAAUACCCCAUAUGCUUUCGAGUGAAAUGGAUUUCCGCCUAAAGAGAAGCUUGCGGCUGAUUAGCUUGUUGGUGAGGUAAUGGCUCACCAAGGCGACGAUCAGUAUCUGGUUUGAGAGGACGAUCAGACACACUGGAACUGAGACACGGUCCAGACUCCUACGGGAGGCAGCAGUGGGGAAUUUUCCGCAAUGGGCGAAAGCCUGACGGAGCAAUACCGCGUGAGGGAUGAAGGCCUAUGGGUUGUAAACCUCUUUUUUCAGGGAGGAACAAAAUGACGUGUACCUGAAGAAUAAGCAUCGGCUAACUCCGUGCCAGCAGCCGCGGUAAGACGGGGGAUGCAAGUGUUAUCCGGAAUCACUGGGCGUAAAGCGUCUGUAGGUGGUUAAGUAAGUCAACUGUUAAAUCUUGAGGCUUAACCUCAAAAUCGCAGUCGAAACUGCUUGACUAGAGUAUAGUAGGGGUAAAGGGAAUUUCCAGUGGAGCGGUGAAAUGCGUAGAUAUUGGAAAGAACACCGAUGGCGAAGGCACUUUACUGGGC
Molecule: ribosomal RNA, 665 nt
Filed under: uncultured bacterium
Lineage: Bacteria
Description: bacterial SSU rRNA
Rfam family: Bacterial small subunit ribosomal RNA
Source: RNAcentral